UUUUGCAACCCCCCCCCCCUUCUUCCCCAUCGCCGCCCUCUCUCCCAGAUCUCUGGCUCUCCGCCGCCACCUCCCCUACCCGUCUCCCUCUCCGGCUGCCUCCGCCGCCCCACCUGCUCCCGCGAGAUCCAGAUCUGGCGCAGGGAGCAACAGCGCCCCCUUCCUUCGCCCGACUCUGCCCCGGAGCUCGUAAGGCACGGUAAAAUAAUGAUUGUGUACGAUUUUUCCUGUCAGCGUUCGUGCCCACUCCAAUAGAGCGUUUGGCCCUGUGAGCUUUGACUACGAGAGCUACCUAUGUCAAAGUAUCGGCAAUUAAGUGGAAGGCAUUGUUCAAGAAAAUAGGCCGGGGUCACUACAGAAAAAAUAAAGAAGCUAGGAUGUUUGCAAGUUUCAACAUGGUGGCCCUAGGUGCUUCAGGGCAACGGGAAACAUGGUGAAAUUGUUGUGGGCAUUUUGAUGAAUUAACUGGUUCAGAUAGAUAGAUAAAGUGUAACAGACAUUCGGAUAAACUCCACACUCCACUGGUGGUGGCGUCCCUCUUUGGUUCUUCAUUGGAAUGCUUGGAGAGAAUUUAUGGAGGCACGCCAACACAAAGCACUUAUGGCUGUUGCAGAUGGAGAUGUUGCAUACUGGGAGAACAAAUAUGAUCCUGCAUUGAGAUGCUAUUUUUCCCUAAUUGGCUGCAUUUACUUGGUGUUGAUUUACUUUGCUGCCGCCUGCUGGUUAGUACUAAAAUGUUUAUGAGAUUUAAGCAUUGAACACGAAAUUGCUGUGUGCCUAGAUGAUAGGAGCAAGAUCAAUGAAUGAGAAUAUGGAGAUUCUCCAAAACAUGAAACUGGUGCUUACAGAAAAUGAGAAUAGCAACAAAGGCUAUUCAGUCCUCUUUGUAUUUGAUAGUAUAUGAAUCAAUUGAAGCUUCAAGUGCAGGUAUCUUUGUAGUUUACGAAAUGUGUUUGGCUAGGCUCAUGUGAUGGAUUAUUGUUUAAUUCUUAAACAUGUAACUAUAACUAUAUGACAUCAUUGAUUUAUUCUCUGUCCAAUUGGUUAUUAUACAGGGGUAUACAAAGGAGUAGAUCCAAAAAAUGACUUAAAAAUUCUCGGGCUGAACUUGAUUAGUCCCCAAUUCACCGGGUCUCUAUGAUCAUUUUUUGGUAAAUGAUGACCUUGAACUUGAAACUCACUGUGAAAAAUUGAAGAAGUUGCUUUCUCCAGAUGACGAUUCCAAUUCCUGGGCCAGUGAUGAUGGCGUGUUAGCGUCAUGGUCCUUCCCGAAGGUGUGGUCGUGAGAGCCAGUUGGUGUUCAUUCUUCCUCUGGUCGUGCUCGAUUACGGUGUGGGUAUUCUUUUACAAAUCGGAGGUGCUACGUCGAGACAUUCCCUCCCUGGAGGCGAUGUCGACAUAUCCUCCUACUCUUGUGCCAGAUGGAGAUUUAUAUGAAAAGGGCAAGCAACAAACCAUCCAGAAAUCAAGCUUCUAAGUAGGCGAGUGAUGUGAUGGAUUGGUACGUGUGAAUACAUUGCAAGAUUGAAGCUGAAACAAAAAAGUUUGAAGCUUAGCCUUCUAGAUUUCUUUCUUUGUUUUAUAGCUUUUUUCUUGUAUUCAUGGAAUUCCUCAUUUUAGGUCUAGAGUGUAAGAACUCUUGUAUUAGUCAUUCGCAUGUGAAUGAUCAAGGCCGAAACUUUUCCCAUAAUCUAAAAAAAGAUGAUGAUUAAGAAGA
Long non-coding RNA from Panicum virgatum (switchgrass), 1717 nucleotides. RefSeq lists it as uncharacterized. The transcript is spliced from 4 exons. The record is from RefSeq and is a predicted model, not a curated record. NCBI's taxonomy places the organism in Eukaryota, Viridiplantae, Streptophyta, Magnoliopsida, Poales, Poaceae.